CAGUAGCCACGGGAAUACGGAGGGUGCAAGCGUUAAUCGGAAUUACUGGGCGUAAAGCGCACGCAGGCGGUUUGUUAAGUCAGAUGUGAAAUCCCCGAGCUUAACUUGGGAAUUGCAUUUGAAACUGGCAAGCUAGAGUCUUGUAGAGGGGGGUAGAAUUCCAGGUGUAGCGGUGAAAUGCGUAGAGAUCUGGAGGAAUACCGGUGGCGAAGGCGGCCCCCUGGACAAGGACUGACGCUCAGGUGCGAAAGCGUGGGGAGCAAACAGGAUUAGAUACCCGCGUAGUCCCUGUCUCUUAUAC
This 301-nucleotide ribosomal RNA is filed under the name uncultured bacterium. RNAcentral's name for it is "partial 16S ribosomal RNA". It matches the Rfam family "Bacterial small subunit ribosomal RNA", at positions 509 to 807 of the family's 1533-position model. The record is from RNAcentral.